UGUCGCUGCUUACACAUGCAGUCGAACGAUGAUGCCCAGCUUGCUGGGCGGAUUAGUGGCGAACGGGUGAGUAAUACGUGAGUAACCUGCCCUUGACUCUGGGAUAAGCCUGGGAAACUGGGUCUAAUACUGGAUACUACCUCUUACCGCAUGGUGGGUGGUGGAAAGGGUUUUACUGGUUUUGGAUGGGCUCACGGCCUAUCAGCUUGUUGGUGGGGUAAUGGCUCACCAAGGCGACGACGGGUAGCCGGCCUGAGAGGGUGACCGGCCACACUGGGACUGAGACACGGCCCAGACUCCUACGGGAGGCAGCAGUGGGGAAUAUUGCACAAUGGGCGGAAGCCUGAUGCAGCGACGCCGCGUGAGGGAUGACGGCCUUCGGGUUGUAAACCUCUUUCAGUAGGGAAGAAGCGAGAGUGACGGUACCUGCAGAAGAAGCGCCGGCUAACUACGUGCCAGCAGCCGCGGUAAUACGUAGGGCGCAAGCGUUGUCCGGAAUUAUUGGGCGUAAAGAGCUCGUAGGCGGUUUGUCGCGUCUGCUGUGAAAGCCCGGGGCUCAACCCCGGGUCUGCAGUGGGUACGGGCAGACUAGAGUGCAGUAGGGGAGACUGGAAUUCCUGGUGUAGCGGUGAAAUGCGCAGAUAUCAGGAGGAACWCCGAUGGCGAAGGCAKGUCUCUGGGCUGUUACUGACGCUGAGGAGCGAAAGCAUGGGGAGCGAACAGGAUUAGAUACCCUGGUAGUCCAUGCCGUAAACGUUGGGCACUAGGUGUGGGGGACAUUCCACGUUUUCCGCGCCGUAGCUAACGCAUUAAGUGCCCCGCCUGGGGAGUACGGCCGCAAGGCUAAAACUCAAAGGAAUUGACGGGGGCCCGCACAAGCGGCGGAGCAUGCGGAUUAAUUCGAUGCAACGCGAAGAACCUUACCAAGGCUUGACAUUCACCGGACCGCCCCAGAGAUGGGGUUUCCCUUCGGGGCUGGUGGACAGGUGGUGCAUGGUUGUCGUCAGCUCGUGUCGUGAGAUGUUGGGUUAAGUCCCGCAACGAGCGCAACCCUCGUUCUAUGUUGCCAGCACGUGAUGGUGGGGACUCAUAGGAGACUGCCGGGGUCAACUCGGAGGAAGGUGGGGAUGACGUCAAAUCAUCAUGCCCCUUAUGUCUUGGGCUUCACGCAUGCUACAAUGGCCGGUACAAAGGGUUGCGAUACUGUGAGGUGGAGCUAAUCCCAAAAAGCCGGUCUCAGUUCGGAUUGAGGUCUGCAACUCGACCUCAUGAAGUCGGAGUCGCUAGUAAUCGCAGAUCAGCAACGCUGCGGUGAAUACGUUCCCGGGCCUUGUACACACCGCCCGUCAAGUCACGAAAGUUGGUAACACCCGAAGCCGGUGGCCUAACCCCUUGUGGGAGGAGCCGUCGAAGUGA
RNAcentral lists this ribosomal RNA (1416 nucleotides) under Kocuria salina. RNAcentral describes it as "bacterial SSU rRNA". The record is from RNAcentral. Lineage: Bacteria; Bacillati; Actinomycetota; Actinomycetes; Micrococcales; Micrococcaceae.